This 84-nucleotide microRNA precursor is filed under the name Bombyx mori (domestic silkworm). RNAcentral's name for it is "mir-2807 microRNA precursor family". It matches the Rfam family "mir-2807 microRNA precursor family". Lineage: Eukaryota; Metazoa; Arthropoda; Insecta; Lepidoptera; Bombycidae. The record is from Rfam by way of RNAcentral.
UUAGCUCAUAUUUGUAUGGAAUGGGAUCGUUUGCGUACGUUUGCCACUAGGGGCGCUGUUCCAACUGCAUACAAAAUUGGGUUA